CAGUAGUAGUUGCGCGGGAGCAAGCAAACUGACUUACUCUUCCGGGUUCCUCUCGGAGUGUGUUGUUCUUCGAAGCAUUCCAUCUCUUUCUGCUCUGCUCCAGCUUUCCAAGAGCCUCAGGGAGUAAACAGGGUACACGUCUCACUCCUACACAAAAGAGGUCGAGAAAGCGCCUUGAGACGGGAGGAGAGCGCUGUCUGGCGGUUCGGUGGGGUCCGCUGCACUCCAUGGCCUCCGCCUCGGGGCUGGCCGCGCGGGGCCGUGGGAGGAGCGCGGAAUCCCGGGCCCGCCUCCCACCUGCUGGUGAUUUCGGACUGGUGGGGAUUGACCAGGCACGAGGAACACCAGGCGCGUUGUUAAAAGAUGGAACGGACCCGGUCUCGUCAGUUGCUUCUGGUCUCCCAGGGAGGCAGGAGUUUACUUCUCUCCUCAUCACUUGUGAGGCAGCCCUGGAGAAAGGGAAGCCAGCUGCCAUGUUGUGAGGACACUUCAGGCAGCCACAUGAGUGAGAUUAGAAGUGGAUCCUUCCCCAGUGGAACUUUGAGAUGACUGUAAACUCCUCAGAGACCGUGAGCCAGAACCAUCUAGCUAUGCUGCUCCCAGGACUCCUGAUACAAAAACUGUGAGAUAGUAAAUGUUAUUUUAAGCCACAACAUUGAAGUAAUCUGUUUGUCUAUAACCAGUAGAUAAUAGAGAUUUGUACAUCUUCUACCUUCAUAUGUAUUCAUCUGUUUUUACUUAAAGACUUAACCCUCAACAAGUCCCACUGUGAUAAACUCACCACCUCUCCUUCAGACCUGCUCCUCCUCUUGUGUUUCCUGCUUCCAUCAUUGGUACCUAGCCAAAUAUGGGAGUUAUCUGGAACUUGUUCCUCUCAAUCCCCAAAUACUGUCAUUAAUGAAGUCUUGUUUAUUCCUUUUAAAUAUGUAUUUUAUUUAAGUCUUUUUAUACCCACCACAUUGUACAGGCCAUUAUCAUGUUUUGGUUUUCUUGCCUAGAUUACUUCAACAGCCUCCUAAUUUGUCUUCCCAUCUCCAGUUUUACAUCUUAUUAUAAUCCACUCGCUACCCUUCAGUUCCAGUGAUCUUUGUAAAAUGUAAAUCUGAUCAUAUCAGGCUGGAUGAGGGUGGCUGUAAUCCUGAUAUGGAAUACACACCUAUAAUCCUAGCACUCUAGAAGGCCAAGGCUGGUGGAUUACUUGAGCUAGGGAGUUUGAGACCAUCCUGAGCAAGAGCAAGACUUCAUCUCUAAAAACGGUGAGGCCUCAGCCUCCCAGGUGUUGUGCUUGUGAGGCUGAGGCAAGAGGAUCACUUGAGCCUAGGAGUUUGAGGUUGCCCUGAGCUAUGAUGACAUGGUACUCUACCAAGGGUGACAAAAUGAGACUCUGUCUCAAAAAGCAAAAAAAAAAACUGAUUAUAUCAUACUGAUCAUGUUUAACCACCUAUUGUCAUUAGGAUGAAGUAUAUAUUUCUAUUUUAUUUUAUUUUUAAAUCAUAACUGUGUACAUUAGUGUGAUCAUGGGUCACCAUACACUGGUUUUAUAGACCAUUUGACAUAUUUUCAUCACACUGGUUAACAUAGCCUUCCUGACAUUUUCUUAGUUACUGUGUUAAGACAUUUAUAUUCUACAUUUACUAAGUUUCACAUGUACCCUUGUAAGAUGCACCGUAGGUGUAAUCCCACCAAUCACCUUCCCUCCGCCCAUCCUCCCCCCUUCCUCUCGUCCCUCUCCCCCUUCCCCAUAUUCUUAGGUUAUAACUGGGUUAUAGCUUUCAUAUGAAAGCCAUAAAUUAGUUUCAUAGUAGGGCUAAGUACAUUGGAUACUUUUUCUUCCAUUCUUGAGAUACUUUAUUAAGAAGACUAUGUUCCAUGUAAACAUGGAAAAGUGGUAAAGUCUCCAUAGGAUGAAGUAUAUAUUUCUUUUCUUUUUUAUUUUUUUUAAGUAUAUAUUUCUUAAUUUGCCAUAUAUAUAUAAUUCCACUUUGCAUCUCUUGUCAGGUGUCCUGUUUAGUUUAACAUUUGUUCUGGAAUAAAGUAUUCCAGUUUUGGGUGGCGUCUGUGGCUCGGUGGGUAGGGUGUUGGCCCCAUAUACCGAGGGUGGCGGGUUCAAACCUAGCCCUGGCCAAACUACAACAAAAAAAUAGCCAGGUGUUGUGGGCACCUGUAGUUCCAGCUACUCGAGAGGCUGAGGCAAGAGAAUCGCCUAAGCCCAGGAGUUGGAGGUUGCUGUGAGCUGUGACGUCAUGCACUCUACCAAGGGUGACAAAGUGAGACUCUGUCUCUAAAAAAAGGGGGGGGAUAAAGUAUUCCAGUUUGAAAGACAGAUCAUAUGGUCACCCUCAACAGGCUACAAACUCUUCAUGUGGUCCUUCCCUUAAUACCUCCCUAUCUUCUACCCCUUCAGUCUUCAGGUACUAGGUUCAACUCUGUAGUUUCUCCUUAACUUCCAAUAGGCUGGUACUUCUUCCUGGAGCCCUACACUUUCCUUCACUGCCCACACCCCCAUCCCCACAUACAUUAACUCAUCCUUGUGAUUUUUGCUUCAGGUUACUUCUGGAACAUUAUAUGUUAGGCUGUCCUGCCCUCCUGCCUUAAAACAUUUAUAUUUUUCCUACCAUAAUCGACUCUCCCAUGUGAUAGGGUGAUAGCAAUGCGGACAGGCCAGUCAUAGUGGCUCACACCUGUAAUCCUAGCACUCUGGGAGGCCGCAGCAGGUGGAUUGCUUGAGGUCAGCAGUUCUUGAUUAGCCUGAGAGUGAGACUUCUAUCUCUACUAAAAAUAGAAAAAACUAGCAGGGCAUUGGGAUGGGUGCCUGUGGACCCUACUACUUGGGAGGCUGAGGCAGGAAGAUCUCUUAAGCCCAGGAGUCUGAGGUUGCUGUGAGCUAGGCUGACACUAGGCAGUCUAGCCUGAGCAACAGAGUGACAGUUUAUCUCACAAAAAAAAAAAAAAAAAAAAGACUUAAACUGAGAUGUCAGAUUACUCCCAAAUUCCGAGAACUUAGAAAACUGGGCAGAUAGGUAGUACACAUACUACUAGAACUUGGGAAGAAAGGAGGAGCAGCAGAGGGAAACAGUGAAAUUCCUUUUUUUCUUUGCCGGAGCAAUAGAUAACGAGCAGAGAUUCCUUUUCAGUAAAAUCAUGCACUACAUAAUUAUUGGUCUUUUGGAACAAACUAACUUGGAAAUCUAAUUCAUAUUAUUUUGUUAAAUUUUACCCCAAUAGUCUGAGGGAAAUGUUUCAUUCAUGAAUAACUUUUUUUGUUUUGUUUUGAGACAGAGUCUCAAGCUGUUUCCCUGGAUAGAGUGCUAUAGCAUUACAGCUCACAGCAACCUCCAACUCUUGGGCUUAAGCAAUUCUCUUGCCUCAGCCUCCCAAGUAGCUGGGACUAGAGGUGCCCACCACAACGCCUUAAUAUCUAUAAAUUUUAGACAGACUCUUCUUAUUAAAUUGCAUUAUUUAUGCCUAUCUCCUUUAUUCUCUAAAAAUAACAAACUUUUAAAAUCACUAUAGUGGCUUGGUGCUUGUAGCUCAGCGGCUAGGGUGCCAGCCACAUACACUGGAGCUGGUGGGUUUCAAUCCAGCCUUGGCCAGCCAAACAACAAUGACAACAACGAC
Molecule: long non-coding RNA, 3618 nt
Organism: Nycticebus coucang (slow loris)
Lineage: Eukaryota; Metazoa; Chordata; Mammalia; Primates; Lorisidae
Exons: 2
Source: RefSeq, a predicted model, not a curated record